Molecule: ribosomal RNA, 309 nt
Filed under: uncultured eukaryote
Lineage: Eukaryota
Description: partial 18S ribosomal RNA
Rfam family: Eukaryotic small subunit ribosomal RNA
Source: RNAcentral
CCCUUAGAUGUUCUGGGCGGCACGCGCACUACAUUGGCACUCUCAAUAAGUUCCUAGAUCUAAAACUUUGGGGUAUUCUAUUAAGUGGUGUCGUGACUGGGAUUAACCCUUGCAAUUAUUGGUUACGAACGAGGAAUUCCUUGUAAUCGCGGUUUAUCAGCCCGCGUUGAAUGCGUCCCUGCCCUUUGUACACACCGCCCGUCGCUCCUACCGAUGAAUCGUCCGGUGAAGUUCAUGGAGUGGUGGUUGUUCCAGCUGCUGUCGAAGUGAAAUGGACCUCACGAUUUAGAGGAAGGAGAAGUCGUAACA